This 132-nucleotide small RNA is filed under the name Citrobacter braakii. RNAcentral describes it as "RtT sRNA". It matches the Rfam family "RtT RNA". Rfam says of the family: This family represents a bacterial cis-regulatory element known as RtT RNA. The exact function of RtT is unknown although it is thought that it may be involved in changing the cellular response in relation to amino acid starvation. Lineage: Bacteria; Pseudomonadati; Pseudomonadota; Gammaproteobacteria; Enterobacterales; Enterobacteriaceae. RNAcentral also lists the same sequence under 6 other names. The record is from RNAcentral.
UAUUCUGCCCGGACGGGAAGGAUGAGAAGCUUCGACUAAGGUUCGAUUCGAGCGUUAGCGAGAAAGCGUUGCCGCAGGCAACGACCCGAAGGGCGAAGCGCACCGCGCUGAGUAAUCCUUCCCCCACCACCA